GCUGAAGUAGCUCAACUGGGAGAGUGUUAGACUGAUAAAUCUAAAGGACCCUGGUUCAAGUCUGGGUGUGAGCA
Molecule: non-coding RNA, 74 nt
Organism: Nipponia nippon (crested ibis)
Lineage: Eukaryota; Metazoa; Chordata; Aves; Pelecaniformes; Threskiornithidae
Source: Rfam